This 281-nucleotide unclassified non-coding RNA is filed under the name plant metagenome. RNAcentral's name for it is "partial contains small subunit ribosomal RNA, internal transcribed spacer 1, and 5.8S ribosomal RNA". The record is from RNAcentral.
UUUCCGUAGGUGAACCUGCGGAAGGAUCAUUGUCGAAACCAGCCCAGCGGAACGACCCGCGAACUUGUAUAAACAACCGGGGGCGGGGGCGUUCUCGCCCCGUGCCCCCGAACGGCGGGGAGACACUCGUGCCUUCUUGCCGAACAACGAACCCCGGCGCGGUCUGCGCCAAGGAACUUCAACUAAAGAGUGCCUCCGGUCGCCUCGGAAACGGCGUGCGUGCCGGGGGCGAAUCUUGUGCAAAACCAUAACGACUCUCGGCAACGGAUAUCUCGGCUCUC